This 69-nucleotide transfer RNA is filed under the name Konosirus punctatus (Konoshiro gizzard shad). RNAcentral describes it as "tRNA-Met". Lineage: Eukaryota; Metazoa; Chordata; Actinopteri; Clupeiformes; Clupeidae. The record is from RNAcentral.
AGUAAGGUCAGCUAAAUAAGCUUUCGGGCCCAUACCCCGAACAUGUUGGUUAAAGUCCUUCCCCUGCUA